RNAcentral lists this ribosomal RNA (247 nucleotides) under uncultured bacterium. RNAcentral's name for it is "partial 16S ribosomal RNA". It matches the Rfam family "Bacterial small subunit ribosomal RNA", at positions 523 to 769 of the family's 1533-position model. The record is from RNAcentral.
AUACGGAGGGUGCAAGCGUUAUCCGGAAUCACUGGGUUUAAAGGGUGCGUAGGCGGCUCCAUAAGUCAGUCGUGAAAUCGUGUGGCUCAACCAUGCAACUGCGAUUGAUACUGCGAAGCUUGAAUAAGGUUGAGGUAGGCGGAAUGUGACAUGUAGCGGUGAAAUGCUUAGAUAUGACACAGAACACCGAUUGCGAAGGCAGCUCACAAAACUGUAACUGACGCUGAGGCACGACAGCGUGGGGAUC